CCUACGGGAGGCAGCAGUGGGGGAUAUUGGACAAUGGGGGGAACCCUGAUCCAGCGACGCCGCGUGAGUGAAGAAGUAUUUCGGUAUGUAAAGCUCUGUCAGCAGGGAAGAAAGAAAUGACGGUACCUGACCAAGAAGCCCCGGCUAACUACGUGCCAGCAGCCGCGGUAAUACGUAGGGGGCAAGCGUUAUCCGGAAUUAAGGGGUGUAAAGGGGGCGUAGACGGUUAAGUAAGUUGGGAGUGAAAGGCCGGGGCCCAACCCCGGGACUGCUCUGGAAACUAUUGAACUUUAGUGCAGGAGGGGUAAGCGGAAUUCCUAGUGUAGCGGUGAAAUGCGUAGAUAUUAGGAGGAACACCAGUGGCGAAGGCGGCUUACUGGACUGUAACUGACGUUGAGGCUCGAAAGCGUGGGGAGCAAACAGGAUUAGAUACCCUAGUAGUC
Molecule: ribosomal RNA, 443 nt
Filed under: uncultured bacterium
Lineage: Bacteria
Description: partial 16S ribosomal RNA
Rfam family: Bacterial small subunit ribosomal RNA
Source: RNAcentral